AAAAAGCAGACCUGCUCCAGUUGGAGAAUCCCUGCCCUAAGUUACAGGAGGCCUUAAGAUGUGAUAAAUUGGUGGUGCUUCAGCAUGCCCAAAUUCAGGUAAGGACAUCAGAAAGGGGCGGCUGGGAGGAGACAGCGGUCAGGUCAGAGAAAUCCUCAGGACAGCAGCAACUGUGAGCUGAGCACCCCAGGGGGACUUUCUUCUGCAUCUGUGGUUCAUCUCUGCCUGUGCUGGUGAAGAAUAAAUCUGGAGCGAGUCUACAAGUGUCCACAGCUACCUUCUUGCUUCCAAACCAGUCUGUUCUUGUACUUUUUGCCCUUCUCCCCAGCUCAGACCAUCCUUACAAGGCUUUGCACCACAGCCCAGACCAAGAACAAAACAAAGACAGUACCUGAAAUGUGAAACUUUCUGGUAUCUUGGAAGAAAUGAGUUUCUUUGUCGAAGACUGUGCAGCACAGUUGCAUGUGUGAGUGCAUAUUACAUGUAUAAUACUAAUAACAAAACAUCGAGAGAAAGCUGCUUAAUCCCCCUUCUGCUCCCUUGAGACUCUUCUAGGGGAACAUCCAGUUUUGGAAUAUGUGGAACUAAAUGCAGAAUGGAUAUGUAUAUCCAUGGAGGCUGAGCUCAGGCCAGAAUCCCCUGGAUUAAAGGCUGGAUGUAAUUUUCAUUGUUCAUGCUUUGCACAACCAUCUACUGUAUUUCAAAUCCU
RNAcentral lists this long non-coding RNA (709 nucleotides) under Anser brachyrhynchus (Pink-footed goose). RNAcentral's name for it is "lncRNA (ENSABRG00000019040.1)". Lineage: Eukaryota; Metazoa; Chordata; Aves; Anseriformes; Anatidae. The record is from RNAcentral.